RNAcentral lists this ribosomal RNA (230 nucleotides) under uncultured bacterium. RNAcentral's name for it is "partial 16S ribosomal RNA". It matches the Rfam family "Bacterial small subunit ribosomal RNA", at positions 562 to 791 of the family's 1533-position model. The record is from RNAcentral.
AAAGCGUGCGCAGGCGGUUUUGUAAGUCAGAUGUGAAAUCCCCGAGCUCAACUUGGGAACUGCGUUUGAAACUACAAGACUAGAAUAUGUCAGAGGGGGGUAGAAUUCCACGUGUAGCAGUGAAAUGCGUAGAGAUGUGGAGGAAUACCAAUGGCGAAGGCAGCCCCCUGGGAUAAUAUUGACGCUCAUGCACGAAAGCGUGGGGAGCAAACAGGAUUAGAUACCCUAGU